UUAUGUUAUGAUUAUUUGUUAGAAAUGUUUUGCCUCUUGGGGUGAAGUAUGGUAAAAUCGUUCAACUUUUUGUGUUUUGUGAUGACUUUUGGAUAUAGCCCUUUUGGAUGUACCACGGUAAAACCGUUCUAGUUCUUGUGCUAUAAUGACUUGUAAAUAUUGCCUCUUUGGGAUGAAGAAUAGCGCAACAUCUCUAAUUCUUGUAAUAUAAUCACUUGUGAAUAUUGCCCUUUGGGAUGUAAAAUGAUGAAACCUCUCUAGUUCUUGUGUUUUGAUGACUUGUGAAUAUUGCCCUUUGGGAUGUGGAAUGGUAAAACCGUUCUAGUUCUUGUGCUUUAAUGACUUGUAAAUAUUGCCUUUUGGGAUGAAGAAUAGUAAAACAUCUCUAAUUCUUGUAAUAUAAAUCACUUGUGGAUAUUGCCCUUUGGGAUGUAGAAUGUGAAACCUCUAUAGUCCUUUUGUUAUGAUGACUUGUAGAUAUUGCCUUUUGGGAUGAAGAAUAGUGAAACCUCUCUAGUUCUUUUGUUAUGAUGACUUGUGAAUAUUGCCCUUUGGGAUGAAGAAUAGUGAAGCCUCUGUAGUUCUUAUGUUAUGAUUAUUUGUAAAAAAUGUUUUGCCUCCUGGGGUGAAGAAUGGUAAAAUCUUUCAACUUUUUGUGUUCUGUGAUGAUUUGUAAAUAUUGCCUUUUGGGGUGAAGAAUGGUAAAACCGUUCUAGUUCUUGUGCUAUAAUGACUUGUGAAUAUUGCCUUUUGGGAAUAAGAAUAGCGAAACAUCUCUAAUUCUUGUGUUAUGAUGACUUGUGAAUAUUGCCCUUUUGGAUGUAGGAUGGUUAAAAUCUCUCUAGUUCUUGUGUUAUAAUGACAUGUGAAUAUUGACUUUUGGACUGUAGGAUAGUAAAAUCUGCCUAGUUCUUGUGUUAUAAAGUCUUGUAAUUAUUGCCUAUGGGAUGUAAGAUGG
Long non-coding RNA from Haliotis rubra (blacklip abalone), 958 nucleotides. RefSeq lists it as uncharacterized. The transcript has 2 exons. The record is from RefSeq and is a predicted model, not a curated record. Lineage: Eukaryota; Metazoa; Mollusca; Gastropoda; Lepetellida; Haliotidae.